GACGAACGCUGGCGGCGUGCCUAAUACAUGCAAGUUGAGCGCUGAAGGUUGGUACUUGUACCAACUGGAUGAGCAGCGAACGGGUGAGUAACGCGUGGGGAAUCUGCCUUUGAGCGGGGGACAACAUUUGGAAACGAAUGCUAAUACCGCAUAAAAACUUUAAACACAAGUUUUAAGUUUGAAAGAUGCAAUUGCAUCACUCAAAGAUGAUCCCGCGUUGUAUUAGCUAGUUGGUGAGGUAAAGGCUCACGAAGGCGAUGAUACAUAGCCGACCUGAGAGGGUGAUCAGCCACAUUGGGACUGAGACACGGCCCAUACUCCUACGGGAGGCAGCAGUAGGGAAUCUUCGGCAAUGGACGAAAGUCUGACCGAGCAACGCCGCGUGAGUGAAGAAGGUUUUCGGAUCGUAAAACUCUGUUGGUAGAGAAGAACGUUGGUGAGAGUGGAAAGCUCAUCAAGUGACGGUAACUACCCAGAAAGGGACGGCUAACUACGUG
RNAcentral lists this ribosomal RNA (497 nucleotides) under uncultured bacterium. Its description in RNAcentral is "partial 16S ribosomal RNA". It matches the Rfam family "Bacterial small subunit ribosomal RNA", at positions 28 to 507 of the family's 1533-position model. The record is from RNAcentral.